This 465-nucleotide ribosomal RNA is filed under the name uncultured bacterium. RNAcentral's name for it is "partial 16S ribosomal RNA". It matches the Rfam family "Bacterial small subunit ribosomal RNA", at positions 338 to 795 of the family's 1533-position model. The record is from RNAcentral.
CCUACGGGAGACAGCAGUGGGGAAUAUUGCGCAAUGGGCGAAAGCCUGACGCAGCGACGCCGCGUGAGGGAUGAAGGUCUUCGGAUCGUAAACCUCUGUCAGCAGGGAAGAACGGUCACUGUGCUAAUCAGCAGUGAAUUGACGGUACCUGCAAAGGAAGCACCGGCUAACUCCGUGCCAGCAGCCGCGGUAAUACGGAGGGUGCGAGCGUUAAUCGGAAUUACUGGGCGUAAAGCGCUCGUAGGCGGUAUGUCAAGUCAAGGGUGAAGUCCCCGCGCUCAACGUGGGAACUGCCUUGGAAACUGGCAAACUGGAGUGUGUGAGAGGAUAGUGGAAUUCCAGGUGUAGGAGUGAAAUCCGUAGAUAUCUGGAGGAACAUCAGUGGCGAAGGCGACUAUCUGGCACAUAACUGACGCUGAGGAGCGAAAGCGUGGGUAGCAAACAGGAUUAGAUACCCGAGUAGUC